AUAUUACUCCUUCCGUCUAAUAAAGGAUGUCUCAAUUUUGACCAAAUUUGAAUGCAUCUAUAUACUAAGUCAUGUCUAAAUAUGUCUAAAUUUUGACAAACUUAAGACAUCUUUUGUUGGACGUAGGAAGUACAAU
Non-coding RNA from Brachypodium distachyon (stiff brome), 136 nucleotides. The record is from Rfam. Lineage: Eukaryota; Viridiplantae; Streptophyta; Magnoliopsida; Poales; Poaceae.